CGCUGGCAGCCCGAGCCGAGUCCGAGGGCGAGCGAGGAGCGCGGCCCAGAGCGGUCAGGCCCGAGCCGCGCGGCUGCCCCCCGGCGGCCACAGCCGGCACUGCAGGCACCGCUCCUCUCGGCCACGGGGCGGCCCAGGAAAGUGAUUUUCUUAGACCUCCAAAGCUGAGGACUUUGCCCGGGGCGAACUUCAGCAUAGCAGCAGCAACGCAGUCCAGGGGGUGACCAUGGGAGCAGGAGGACGGGUGAGAUGCGGUGAAGGGGACAUGAUCGCACACAGGGAGGUUGAAGAACCAGAAGGCCAGCGUGCUGAGCAUCCCUGUGGACACUGGAGUCAGGAUGACAGCUGGAGUGGCAGGACAAGGAUGAGUCUAGAUUAGCCCUGAGCUAACAUCUGCCACCAAUCCUCCUCUUUGUUGACGAAGACUGGCCCU
Equus quagga is the source of this 433-nucleotide long non-coding RNA. RefSeq lists it as uncharacterized. The record is from RefSeq and is a predicted model, not a curated record. The transcript is spliced from 4 exons. NCBI's taxonomy places the organism in Eukaryota, Metazoa, Chordata, Mammalia, Perissodactyla, Equidae.